GACGAACGCUGGCGGCGUGCCUAAUACAUGCAAGUCGAGCGAACAGACGAGGAGCUUGCUCCUCCGACGUUAGCGGCGGACGGGUGAGUAACACGUGGAGAACCUGCCUAUAAGACUGGGAUAACUUCGGGAAACGGGAGCUAAUACCGGAUAAUAACUUUAAACGCAUGGUUCAAUAGUGAAAGACGGUAUUGCUGUACCUUAUGAAUGGAUCCGCGUGGCAUUAGUUAGUGGGUAAGGUAACGGCUUACCAAGGGGACGUACCGUAGCCGCCCUGAGAGGUGGAUCGCCCACACUGGAACUGGACCACGGUCCAGACUCCUACGGGAGGCACCAGUAGGGAAUCUUCCGCAAUGGGCGAAAGCCUGACGGAGCAACGCCGCGUGGUUGAUGAAGUUUUUCGGAUCGUAAACCCCUUUUAUUAGGGAAGAACAAAUGUGUAAUUAACUAUGCACGUCUUGACGGUACCUAAUCAGAAAGCCACGGCUAACUACGUG
This 497-nucleotide ribosomal RNA is filed under the name uncultured bacterium. Its description in RNAcentral is "partial 16S ribosomal RNA". It matches the Rfam family "Bacterial small subunit ribosomal RNA", at positions 28 to 507 of the family's 1533-position model. The record is from RNAcentral.